Molecule: long non-coding RNA, 2748 nt
Filed under: Mytilus galloprovincialis (Mediterranean mussel)
Lineage: Eukaryota; Metazoa; Mollusca; Bivalvia; Mytilida; Mytilidae
Source: RNAcentral
CAUAAUAGAAUAGUUUCAAAUUCAAACAAAAGCAGAAAAAAUUGGUCAGUACUUUUUUCUAGCAAAGUAAAUAACCAAGGUAAAGUAGUUUACCUUCUCCACACAAACUUCGACAGAGAAAAUUGAAGGAACGAUCUGAAAUUCUAUAUUAUUUUUAUCUGGCUUGAUAACUUAUAUAUCAUUUGAUGUAUAUUUUAGAUCUGCCAUGCUACACCAGACUAAGGCCGUGUUAACACCAAACGCCGUGUACAGUAAACAUGUUUACCUUUGGUUAAAUGUAAUGUACACUAGUUUCACAUUUAAUUUGUUCACAUCUUUACACUUUGUUUAGUUACCUAUACAUCAGAUUCGUUUACCUUCUCCACACUAACUUCGACAGAGAAAAUUGAAGGAACGAUCUGAAAACAGGCUUUAAUUUGUAAGUGUUUGUUGAUUUUAUAUUAUUUUUACCUGGCUUUAUAACUUAUAUAUUAUUUUAUAUAUGUUUUAGAUCUGCCAUGCUACACCAGACUAAGGCCGUGUUUACACCAAACGCCGUGUACAGUAAACAUGUUUACCUUUGGUUAAAUGUAAUGUACACUAGUUUCACAUUUAAUUUGUUCACAUCUUUACACUUUGUUUAGUUACCUAUACAUCAGAUUCGUUUACCUUCUACACACAUACUUCGACAGAGAAAAUUGAAGGAACUAUCUGAAAACAGUCUUUAAUUUGUAAGUGUUAGUUGAUUUUAUAUUAUUUUUAUCUGGCUUUAUAACUUAUAUAUCAUUUGAUAUAUAUUUCAGAUGUGCCAUGCUACACCAGACUAAGGCCGUGUUUACACCAAACGCCGUGUACAGUAAACAUGUUUACCUUUGGUUAAAUGUUUAUGUACACUAGUUUCACAUUUAAUUUGUUCACAUCUUUACACUUUGAUUAGUUACCUGUACAUCAGAUUUGUUCACACAGUUUGUUUAGUUACCUGUACAUCAGAUGUGUUCACAGUUAGGGAACGACCAUUUGACUUUAAAAAAAGAGGGGGUGGAUUUUUCCACAGUUUGAUUUAAAAAAAGAAUUGGGUCUUACAGAUGAUUAGAAUGAACAAAUAUUCUUAAUCCAAAGUUUCCCGAUACAUUAUAGUGUUAAUAUUGAAUUACAUCGAAAAAAAAAACUAAAUAUAAAGUUACGCGCGACAAAAAAAUUCCGACUCGGACCCCCCCUUUUUUUAAAGUAAUAUAGUUUAAAAAGUCAUUUUGGUUAAUUUGCGGUAGUUUAAAGGUGUAUCGAUUACGCAUUAAAAACGUAGGCUGCAUCAGCAUGCUUACAGACGAAGAAAAAGAAUUGCGAUGUAAAGGAUCACUACAUUUCUUUCUUUUUUGUUUGUUUCAAAUGGUAUUUUUUCUCCAAGGUGUAUUUGGUUAGGGGAGGGGGUAAUGUUUUUUUUUUAAUUCCAAUUGUAUUUUAACGGAUCUGAGAUACUACACAAACAAACAAUUAACCUCGCCCUUUUUCAGUAAUGCAUUUAUGAGUAAAUCGUGGUUUGAGUAAAGACCAGUGGCAAAUAUUUCUGUCAGUGUGUACGUCCAGUCGAUUCGGGAAGACAUUUUCAAAUGAUUUAUGUGUUCGGCUAUGAUGAUGGAUGAGAUUAGAGAUUAAUAAGGCUACGUAAAGUGUUUUUAUAACAAAUAAAUAUAUCAAGUUUAAACAAAUAUUUCUGUAAAGAACUUUAUUAAUAAGUGUUAUAAGUAUCAAUUUUAUAUAAAAAAUCGUUUUUUUUAAAUAAACAUGGGAAAAUUAAAGUUCUGAAUGCCUAGUUUUGAGUACACUUAACCUACACAAGCCCUACAUCGACUAUCGACUGCAUGUAGAGAAAACAUGAUUUAAACUACAUGUAAACAUGUGAUUUUAAGUACAGCACCAAACUAUUUUUUUUUUUUCAUGUUCAAAUUUGAUCGUUAAGAUGAAGGUUAUAUAAUCGAAAAUUCUUACGCAGGAAAAUUUUAUCAUACAUUAUAAUACAUUGUAUAUCCUUUAGGUGAGCAAAUCCUCUGCAAGAUGAAAAUAGUCAAGAUCCUGUGUGCAAUGUUCAUAAUGCUAUAUCAGUUUUAGCAGGAACAGCUAGUGGACAACAACUAGGUCUACCACAUUCAGGACGACUUGAAUUUAACAGAGUAAAACGAGAUGCUAAUGACAAUUUUGAUAGAAUCGGAACGUAACUGAUAAUUACAAAAAAAAAUUAUAAUUCAUUAUAUUGAGUUUUAAAUUACUACUGCUACUACUAUUACUCCAAUAAUACUAAUAAUAAUAAUAAUAAUAAAAAUAAUAAUAAUAAUAAUAAUAAUAAUAAUAAUAAUAAUAAUAAUAAUAAUAAUAUUAAUAAUAAUAAUAUUAAAAAUUAAUGCAUCAUGAUAAUAAUCAUACUAUAAAUAAUAAUUUGUAUUUUUCAGGUGAAUAAAGAUUAGAUGGUCUGUGGCACCACGUGCACUAACUGGAUCUUUCAUCAUUUAAUAAUAGAGCCUUAUUUAAAUGGAUUUAUCGUUGAUUUAUAUAUUUGUUUUUAUUUCAUCUCUUUAAUGAUACCUUUUUUGUUUUAACAUUCUAGUGGCAAAUUGUUUCUUGAAAAAUAAGGUUGUAAAUUGAUUUGCUGCAACUCAUAUAAAUAUCAAACAACAAUGGUGUCACAUGUGGAGCAUGAUUUGUUUACCCUUCCACAUUAUGCGAGAUCACUCCGAUUUUAAUGUAUCUACAAUUCAGAGAUGCACAAUCUCAAUU